AAAUGGCGAACGGUUCCAGGCGGAAGUGACAUAUUGUGUGAAGUUAUAAAGGGACCAUUCUUAUGUCUGAGGGGCUACAGGAUUUUCUUCAAAGAAAAGACCGUGCAAUUCGGAGAGACGGCGUCGCCGGCGAAAAUUAAUGCAGAAUUGAUAGAGCAGACCACUGUCAAAGAAGUGAUGCUUCUGGGAGACUGUGUGGAGUGAAAUGGAGUAAGGAAAGCAUAGAGAGACAACUGCACAGAUAAAGGCUGUUGUUCAAUAUGUAUGCAGGCCAAACACCCUCCUCCAGAUGGUGACUAUUCCAGCCUCCCCUUGAUGGGAAGUCAGAUGUUUGCAGAGCCCGGCGAGAGGGCAUAAGAGCUGACAAUGCCAGUCACAG
Long non-coding RNA from Paramisgurnus dabryanus, 379 nucleotides. RefSeq lists it as uncharacterized. The record is from RefSeq and is a predicted model, not a curated record. NCBI's taxonomy places the organism in Eukaryota, Metazoa, Chordata, Actinopteri, Cypriniformes, Cobitidae.